AGUGAACGCUGGCGGUAGGCCUAACACAUGCAAGUCGAACGGCAGCACAGUAAGAGCUUGCUCUUACGGGUGGCGAGUGGCGGACGGGUGAGGAAUACAUCGGAAUCUACUUUUUCGUGGGGGAUAACGUAGGGAAACUUACGCUAAUACCGCAUACGACCUACGGGUGAAAGCAGGGGAUCUUCGGACCUUGCGCGAUUGAAUGAGCCGAUGUCGGAUUAGCUAGUUGGCGGGGUAAAGGCCCACCAAGGCGACGAUCCGUAGCUGGUCUGAGAGGAUGAUCAGCCACACUGGAACUGAGACACGGUCCAGACUCCUACGGGGGGCAGCAGUGGGGAAUAUUGGACAAUGGGCGCAAGCCUGAUCCAGCCAUACCGCGUGGGUGAAGAAGGCCUUCGGGUUGUAAAGCCCUUUUGUUGGGAAAGAAAAGCAGCAGGUUAAUACCCCGCUGUUCUGACGGUACCCAAAGAAUAAGCACCGGCCAACUUCGUG
RNAcentral lists this ribosomal RNA (492 nucleotides) under uncultured bacterium. RNAcentral's name for it is "partial 16S ribosomal RNA". It matches the Rfam family "Bacterial small subunit ribosomal RNA", at positions 29 to 507 of the family's 1533-position model. The record is from RNAcentral.